UUAGUCUUUUAUUAUUUUCAGGGCUCCUCAGUGAUUAUGUUAAUGCAAGUCAAUAUGUAUAAAUAUAAAUACCAAUAUUCACAGAUCUAACAUAGUCAAAUAAAUUCAAAACGCAGCUCAAUGUUCAAAAACCCCCUGAAGCCAAAACAAUGUCUCACCAAACUGCCGUAAUUCAUUUAAUUCUGUGGGACUAUUUUUCCAUAUGCGUAAUGACACCAAAAUAGAGGGGAGUGCUACGGCCAUUCGUCUUCACCACGGUCUGCUAUGCACAGUGUUCACGGAAGGACGUUGUUCUAUUCUAGACUGUAUCACUAGAAUAGAAUAAGGCCGAAGAAGUACACGAGACGAGCGUCUUCUCUUCACAUCCACACUUCUCCAUUUUUUUUUUUUAUUCAACUCUACUUCUUCUCCCUUGCAACCCAAGUACAGUCACAUACUGACGCCCACUGGCGGCAUGGUGGCAUUGCAAAUCAAAAGUGUAAUACACAACAGACGUCAACAUGGUGAAAUGUGCUUUUAGAAGCUGUGGAAACAUACAGAAGAAAUGGACAAAGGAAAGUUUCCACCGCUUGCCUGUGAAGAACGAGGAACUAUUCAAAAUGUGGUUACUUUGGUGGAUAUGACAUACACACACCGGGGGAAAAGUACUGUACUGCUCUGGAGUAUUUGCAUUGCGCAUUUUCAUCGGUAUCCUCUCCUGAAACCAAAUGCUGUACCUUCGACUGUCCAAACGUCUUCAAGAGCUUCUGAUAAACAGGUGACCUGGAGAUGCUGUAGGUACACCCAGAAGAGGCUCCACUUUGUUUUCAACUCCAUGAAGGCAAGGGCGCCAGCAAGCGAGGAAUGCUGAUGGGACUUCGAGAUACAGCUUGGAGUUUCCUAAGCAAACAAAAAGAUGGGUUGCCUGGAGGAGUUACAAGCCAACAACGCGGACAUUCUGACAGAAUUUGGUGGCGCAUGUCCUGGAAAGACUGCAGGAUUCAUCAGUGAAAUUUGCUGACCCAGACUUUUAUUUCAAGCCUCCAACUACAAUUCCCCAGGCAUCAAAAGGCCUGAUAAAGAAAGUCAUUUUACAUGUCAGUAGAUUUAAAAAAUAAUUAGGCUGACAUUUUCCUUUUUAAUAGAUUUUUUUGAAUGUACUAUAAGAAAAAAAACACAUAUUGUCUUAUUUGUGAAAUCUGAAGGUUUAAAAGAUCAAAAGUUUCUGGGUAUGUAGGAGUUGUACUUAGAACAAUUGCAGAGCAUCUUCAGUUUCCCUAAAACCAUUGUAGUUCCCACUGACAGAAGUGCACUUGUCACGGAUGUGGGAGACCACACAUGAUGGAAGAACACGUCGCUGGCCUCUUCCCAGUUGUUUGCCUUUCAACGCCUACUCAAGAACAACCCUAUAUGGCACCAAUCAGAGUUGCCUAAAACAACAAAACCAUAAUAGAGGGUGAUUAAAAAAGAAAGAGCCAAAAUCAUCAAGUGAUAGAUCAAAAAAUUAUAUACAUAUAAUUUAAAAAAGUUACAGAACUCUAGCUUGGACACAUGUUCAAUAUUCCCAACACAUAAGCAGCACUCUACUAUAUGCAGCUGGGUUCAAAAUGAGGGGGAAAAAAGUAGCGGCUGAUAGUCCGCAAAUUACGUAACUUCAAGUUUUUAAAUCAAGUGCUCUAAGGGGACAAUCACCGGCAAUUGAAAUACAUGAAAUAAUACUUGAAGUUAUGUUCAACACAUUUGCCUAUGUCAGUUUUAUAAUGUUUUUAAUUUUUGACAUAUUGCGUGAUGAUUUAGGCACAUUCUUGUAAAUAAUUGCCAUACUGCUACUGCUUUUUAUAUUGACAUGCUUUUACUCUCACAAUGCAUUACUGUUGAGAUGAUAUAGCUGCUUUCCUGAAGUAGAACUAAGCUUAGAGUAUACGAAUAUUCGCCCAGCGACAAAAUAAAGCAUGCAGGAAUCCACUUACCUCAUUCAUAGCUGCCCGUUUUUUUCCAGUUGGUCUUAUCUACGAAGAAAAAAGUUUCAAGAACACCUUUGUUGAGAAGUGGUAAAAAGUCUUGGUGUUCACUUGCGACCAUUUAUUGAGUUCUGAAAACUGUUCAGCUCCAAUUCUUCCCUGCAUUUUGGGGGCGGGAAGUCGCUAAGUUGCCACAAUAAAAAAAAUUUAAAAAAUAAAAAAGCGGUGAAAAGACCAAUGUGAUAUCCCUCCGCGCAGCCAGCUUGUUCUCUUCUCUGCAAGGCAACUGGAUUACUAAUGUUGCUGUUCUUACUGCAGUUAUUGACAUGCAAUGGUAAGUUUUAAUAACUUUAUCCUGAAAACAGCCAACACUAUUGAUUGCAUGCGUCAUCAGUGAUUCUCCUACGUGCAUAUGUUGUUUUCAUGAGCAUGCUAAUUGGCCAUAUUGACUUGCAUUAGCAUAGCCACUCCGGAGCCCUGAAGAAUAAUUGAAGACUAACAAACGAUACGGAAUAUUUUGAAAUCAACUCCACUGACUAUUUAACCCCCCCCCCCCAACUCGAAGAAUAAGCCUGAUGUAAAAAAAAUCUGAACUUCCCCUUUAAGAAAAUGUCUGCUUAAAAAAAAUCACAUAUAUUAUGAAUUUUUGAUGUUUCAAAAAUUUCUCCUUGAAUAGAUUAUUUUUGAUAUUGUGAAAUAGUAAACUGCAAUAAUUUGCUAUUUUUCUUCUUAUUCUUCCUGACGAGGUUAUUGGGUACAUAUCCCAUUCAAUGAAUUACAUUCAUUAUAUGACUUUUGACAUUGUGAAAAUGUGUGCUCUAAUAAAUUACAUUGCUGUAUUGUAUUUUUGAGAUUAUGAAAUUAU
Molecule: long non-coding RNA, 2805 nt
Organism: Corythoichthys intestinalis (scribbled pipefish)
Lineage: Eukaryota; Metazoa; Chordata; Actinopteri; Syngnathiformes; Syngnathidae
Exons: 3
Source: RefSeq, a predicted model, not a curated record